This 445-nucleotide ribosomal RNA is filed under the name uncultured bacterium. RNAcentral's name for it is "partial 16S ribosomal RNA". It matches the Rfam family "Bacterial small subunit ribosomal RNA", at positions 354 to 796 of the family's 1533-position model. The record is from RNAcentral.
GUGAGGAAUAUUGCGCAAUGGAGGCAACUCUGACGCAGCCAUGCCGCGUGCAGGAAGAAGGCGCUACGCGUUGUAAACUGCUUUUAACCGGGAAGAAACCCCAGGACGUGUCCUGGGUUGACGGUACCGGAGGAAUAAGCACCGGCUAACUUCGUGCCAGCAGCCGCGGUAACACGAAGGGUGCAAGCGUUAUCCGGAUUCAUUGGGGUUAAAGGGUGCGUAGGCGGAGCGUUAAGUCAGUGGUGAAAUACUGCAGCUUAACUGUAGACUGGCCAUUGCUACUGGCGCUCUUGAGUGCGCUUGAAGUGGGCGGAAUGUGCCGUGUAGCGGUGAAAUGCUUAGAUAUGGCACAGAACACCAAUUGCGAAGGCAGCUCACUAAGGCGAUACUGACGCUGAGGCACGAAAGCGUGGGGAUCGAACAGGAUUAGAUACCCGAGUAGUCC